Non-coding RNA from Thamnophis sirtalis, 709 nucleotides. NCBI's taxonomy places the organism in Eukaryota, Metazoa, Chordata, Lepidosauria, Squamata, Natricidae. The record is from RefSeq and is a predicted model, not a curated record.
UGAAAAAGAGGGGAUUCCUAACCUCCCCUGCCUUCCUGCUCUGGUUGGUCGGGUGGAUAGAACUGGGGAAAGAGGGUCCUUUAUUACAUUUAUAUUGUUUCCAAUCUCACUAUCCCAAGUGACUUCGAGAGGCUUAACAAAAAUAGAAAUAUAAGUAUCAAAACAAUCAGCAUUGCAAGAAUCGAAAGGCCAAAAUUUAAAUGCUUGCCCGUUUGCAGGUGACGGGACUUGUUUUAUUAUGAAGCAGGAUCUCGAUCACGUUCUUGAGCUGACCGGACCGGACUGCGAUCCUGUGUACAAGGUAGCUCCCUGGGGGAAAGAAAUAUAUACCUGCUGCCGAGAUGGGAUACUGAGGCGGUACCAGCUUCCCGAUCUCUGAUCCGCCUGGAGAUGUCGACAACGGAUUGCAAAUGCUGGAUUUAGUUCAGGGAUUUCUCUCAAUGACUGUUUGGGAAAGGGACAACGGAGAACCUGGUUUGCAGUCCUCUCUAGCCGUGUUUGCAAAGCUGGGGCACUUUAAGAGGGGUGGGCUUCAACUCCUCUUAAAAAGUGUCCCAGCUUCGGAUUUAUACAGUCACAGAGCUGACAGGUAUGACUUUAAGAAGACCUCACCCGAACCAGAAACAGGGCACAGAAGGGGGGACCCCCCUGGAAAUUCUGUUCUGGAGGUUUCUUGUUAUUAAAGAGCACCUCGCAUUUUGGAAACGCA